This 1654-nucleotide long non-coding RNA is filed under the name Chrysolophus pictus (golden pheasant). RNAcentral's name for it is "lncRNA (ENSCPIG00010005500.1)". The record is from RNAcentral. Lineage: Eukaryota; Metazoa; Chordata; Aves; Galliformes; Phasianidae.
AACACAGUUCAGAAGCUCACAGCAAUUAACAUCAGCUUGAGAACCAAGUUGAACCCUCCGAACUCCAAAAACCACGGGGUUACAGAAUCAUCUCAAAAUCUGAACAAAUUGCAACGAUGGAAAAAAAUAAGAGUGGAAAAAAAUAAGAGUGUCUUCAGCAUAAGUCUACGAACGCAUGCCAUAGCAGAAAUGUUUGCCAGCCACCCACUGUUCGGGCACUUUUCCCCUGUGGACUCCCAAUCAGGCUCGGCACCACGUUUUCCAGCAAACAUUGAGUAAACUGGACGAAGGAUGGGCUCUCGGACAGAGCUACUCAAGAUUAUCUGUGAGACUUGCAACAUACCUUGAGGAGGCUAAGCUUUAUACUCUUGGAACGGAGGAAAUGGUGGUGGAAACAACCCUGGCACCAUGGGAAAUACUGCUGGUCAUUUGUGCUGCAGUGCUGGUCAUGAGCUUCCUUAUGGUCCUGCCCCCUGCAAUAGUGGUGAUCUGGCGGAUGAAGCGUGUGCCUCAGAUCUCACUGCACGGCUCAGUGUAAGCCAGACACACAUUCUUUCAAAGGCUGCUUCAGAACAAUGAAAUCUCUCAGGAUCACCUUUACAGCUCAAGGUCCAUCCCAAACUCGCUGUUUUUCCACUCCGUUUCUGUUAAGUCCCGGUAAAAAGAGAAUGUGUCAAAUUUUGUUUUCAUUUGAUGCAGCCCUUUGCCUUCUGUUUGCUGUCUACACUGUAUUGCUAUUGGUAAUAUAAGUAAUAUAGAUACUUAAUUCCUACAUUGUUGUCGUCUUUCACUAUAAUGAAGUGAAAACAAUACUGAAAAGUAAGACUCUACAGUACUGUAUUCCCUUUAAUAAUAACCAGUAAAGUCUGCCUCUCUGAAGUUAUGCUGCAAGUAUUACAAAGCCUUUGAGGUCACUGAUAAGUUGUGGUUGUAUCAAAAUAAGCAGCAUAGUCUGGGGAGCUGGUUUAGUCUGGUUGUGCUGCGAAACCUGCAAAAAUGAGGAGUGGUGCAACAAAUGAGCAUCUUUUUCUUAUUUUUCUGAUUUGAAAUUGUUGGCGUAUAAUGUUUCUUGUUGCUUUACUGCAAUGUGAAUAUUCUUCUCUUUGCUAAUUCCUGAGUGUCAGAAUGCAAAGCCCUUCCCACUCCAGGGUUGGAACAAGAGGCUCAGCCCAACGCUCAGACAUGCCCAGCCAGACGCCAGCUCGUAGUUAAUGCAAACAUAAGGCAACUAUUUGCCUAAAUUACAUUAUGCAAAUUCAGUCUGGGAAGUAAUGUCAUUAAAUUUACUUUAGUUUUUAACUGUGUUGUACAGGCUUAUUGGUUCUACUGCCCUUUCUCACAUAUAAAUAACAAAUUGGGUGGUGGGAAUAGAACAAAAUAACUUCUCUGCAAUUUUAUAACAAUAAUAAUUUUUAGCUUAAUAUCAAAUUCAUGCAGUAUCAUAUUAAAGCCUUCCAGCCUAUUUCUUUCACAUUAAGUGAAGCUUAUUAGUAAGCUUUUUUAUGCAAAGAUUUAAUAGUUUCUAUUACUUUACAAGAAGAAUGGGCUUGAGUUCCUUAUGAAGUCCAACACUGUGGUUUUUCUCCUUUGUUAGUUGGUUUGGAAAGUUGCUGGAUUAGCUCAAUAAAACUACAGAAAGUUAUUUUUAGUACCA